This 2303-nucleotide non-coding RNA is filed under the name synthetic construct. The record is from RNAcentral.
CCUGGCGCCGCAUUGCAUCAAAAGGAUUGUCAUAAACCUCCUCUGGCUCUGCAUAGACGUGCUCAUCACUGUCAGAAUCAGGUUGGAAUCCAGGGUUGUUUUUACCUCCAGAAGCCAUGAAUGAAUUAGGAGCCAAGCAACUGCUCAACAAAUUACCAAAGAGGAGAGCUAGGGCUGGAAAGCUGGCACACGUCAGGUGUUACAGAGCAAUGCAAGGAGCUUCAAAUAUUCUCCAACUGCUAGAAUCUUUAAAAAUCGCACAUCAGAUAACACACCCAGUAGGUUCCAGGCUCUUUUUUGAGGUCACACUAGGGCGCAGGGUGGUUGAUGCAAUUAUAGUGGUUUUCUCAGAAAGUAGUCCUCACAUCCACUGUUUUUUGAUAGAGCUAAAGACAUGUAAAAUCAAUUUCUUCAACCAGCACAGUACCACCAGAGAAGCACAAAAGGUAGAGGGUAGCAACCAGCUGAGGGACUCUGCCAAGGCGCUAGCAGUUCUAGCUCCAGUUGGAACUGACCCCUGCAGAGUCACCGCACACCUGAUAUUUAAGAGCCAGCGGGGUCUGAACACUUUAAAAAGUUAUACACUGAACUGGAUGACUCACACUGUAAACACUCAAAAAGUUGCACUUUUGAACUUUCUGGGGUUGCGUGCGGACAAUGAAUUAAGAGCUUGUUUAACUAGGGGACUCCCCCCUGCCAAUUCCCCUGGAAGCAGGAGGCACCAUGUUUGUUUACCUGAACCCAAACCCCAAAAACACCUUAAGAAUAGACGCGGAGGCGCUCACAGAAACCAGAAGGCUCGCCGCCAGGGCGUGGGACCUAAAGUAUCAAAUGACAAAACAAGGAAUGCACCAACGCAUGCUGAGGGCCGAGCUGGAUAACCUGGAAAUCCUAGAAAGGGGGCAUUCUGCGGCUUUGACCACAAAUCUGAGCUUACUGGCAAAUGUCCUGCUCGACCAACCGGCCCCGCCCGAUCCAACACAGGGUGAAGAAAAGGGCCUUCCCCCUUCCAGUCGGGUGGAGUCCAGAACAGAGGGUGUCUACACUGUAACUGUAUACCCGGGAGAUCCCGCCUUUGAAAUACAGGAUAGUCUACCCCAGAAAAUAUGGCCAAUGCUCUACCUCCAUCAGCAGAGGUGGCUGCCCUCUUACGGCCCGUGGCACAUCAGGUUUACCUCUUCCGCCAUGCAGCUCAGAAAUUUUCCACGUUCCCUCCGUGGCCAGGCAAAUUUUCAAAACUCCAUGUCCCUCAAACUCAUCACUGCACUUACUGACGUCAUCUCCAGGAUCUCCCUAGACUUUUACUCAGACCUGAGACAUUUGAGUGAUACCAUGUCCGCCCUGUGUCUCAUAGCAGCUUACUACAGUGAAAAAAAUCAAACACCUCUACCCACUAACCUCCCAGAACUGCUAGGGAAUAUCACAGCAAAGGUGACCCUCCUGGUUAGGGACCUGAAGAGGGCAGCGGCAAAUAAAGGGUUUAAUUUCAAUAGAAACUCUUCUUCUCUGUUACCUGCCCAGGGCGGCCUUUACAGUAAUGAUUUUUUUCAGGAGCACGCGCUGUAUUCUCUGUUUAGAACAGCGGGGAUGUUGGCAAGUUCAAGCUCGCCCGAGUAUCCCAGGGCAGAUUCUGUGCUCGCCAUCACGGCGGCCGUGUUUGGUGACAACAUCCCUCCCUUUGCUGCCUAUCAGUGGAACCUUCGCAGUGGUCUCAAGGCGCUCGAGUCACUCAUCCUACUGUUUCUACUCUUGGACGUGAACGUCCCAGCCACCUCCAACAAGAGGCUACACCUGGAGGCUUUGUUGGGGGAGUCUUACAGUAAGGGGUCCCGUCCCCCAGCCCGCCGCACCGGUCCACUAGACGCUGGAGGCUCAGUCUUCAGCUUUCUCAUGGAAAACUAUCUAGUGCCCACUCUACUACACCGCCCCACCACCAACAUGUCCGCCCUCUUUCCAGGCCUCUACCUCCUCCAGCUGGAGUUUAGCUCAGGAGCCUCCACCCCCCACGCCAUUCACUUAACAGACGUGAAGUUUAGGGACAUUUUCAAUAUCCUGGUGCAAUCUAAUGUUUUUCAAGAUUCCCAGGAACUGAUCAGGGCCAAACAGUCCCUGAGAGUCAGCUGUGAAACAGGCAGUGGGAAUCUCCUGGAAAGCCUCUCCCCGGGGACCACCAUGCGAGACAUCAUCAGAAAAGAAUUCAUGGCACAAGAUGUUUAUGAUUAUGUUUAUUUUUGUGUGUUGGGGGCACUUCCUGUUACAGUGGCCGUGGUGUAAGAAAUAAAGCUGUUGUUAAAAGUAAACAA